Molecule: unclassified non-coding RNA, 244 nt
Filed under: plant metagenome
Description: partial contains small subunit ribosomal RNA, internal transcribed spacer 1, and 5.8S ribosomal RNA
Source: RNAcentral
UCUCCGUUGGUGAACCAGCGGAGGGAUUAUUACCGAGUUUACAACUCCCAAACCCAAUGUGAACCAUACCAAACUGUUGCCUCGGCGGGGUCACGCCCCGGGUGCGUCGCAGCCCCGGAACCAGGCGCCCGCCGGAGGGACCAACCAAACUCUUUCUGUAGUCCCCUCGCGGACGUUAUUUUUACAGCUCUGAGCAAAAAUUCAAAAUGAAUCAAAACUUUCAACAACGGAUCUCUUGGUUCUG